UACAUGGGGUGCAAACGUUGUUCGGAAUUACUGGGCGUAAAGCGCGUGUAGGCGGCUCUGCAAGUCGGAUGUGAAAUCCCACGGCUCAACCAUGGAAGUGCAUUCGAAACUGCAGGGCUAGAGUUCUGGAGAGGAAGGUGGAAUGCUUGGUGUAGAGGUGAAAUUCGUAGAUAUCAAGCGGAACACCGGUGGCGAAGGCGGCCUUCUGGACAGUAACUGACGCUGAGACGCGAAAGCGUGGGGAGCAAAACAGG
RNAcentral lists this ribosomal RNA (254 nucleotides) under uncultured bacterium. RNAcentral's name for it is "partial 16S ribosomal RNA". It matches the Rfam family "Bacterial small subunit ribosomal RNA", at positions 524 to 776 of the family's 1533-position model. The record is from RNAcentral.